Molecule: long non-coding RNA, 896 nt
Filed under: Mus musculus (house mouse)
Lineage: Eukaryota; Metazoa; Chordata; Mammalia; Rodentia; Muridae
Description: predicted gene, 34549
Source: RNAcentral
AGACAGGGAAGUGGGAGGGUGCAGUGGUGGGUGGAAGCUGGGGCUCAGUGGGAAGGAAAGAUAAUGUCUGACCGGCUAAGGUUAGAGGGUUCUGCCGUACCAGAAUCUGCUGAGUCUGAGUUCCCAGGGAGCUCUGCGAGACCUUUACUGUGACCCUUACAUGGAUAACAUCAUUGUGAAGUCACCAACAGUGGAUGUUUUUCCAGUAGCCACAGGGCUCUCUGAUCCCUACGAAAAGAGAGGAGCUGACAGGAUACAUGCCAUAUUUGAAUACUCCCUGCCUCUAAGCAGAAAUGAGCACAUGGAAGCACCAACCAGCUGGAGUUUGCUUAAAGACAUUGGGAGAGAACUUUAAGCUUCAGGAAGGACAGCUAAUGAGUGACAGCUGAGAUAAUAAAGACCUGCCUGUCACCCACCCUGCUUUCUGCACAAGCCACAAACAUCCUCGUGAAAGUUAAAAGGAAAAAGAAAAACAUGCUCUUCCAAGGCCCUUAGAAGUAUUAUGGCCCUGGCUACAGUCUCCACAGGGCCUCCUGGGCAGACAUACCACUCAUGGAGAAGAGAGGUCGCUGUCAUUAGAUGCCAAGGUGGGAGAAACUUGAAGCUGCUAGUCUCAUAGCUAUAGUCAACCUCAGAGAGGAGCCUCAGAGAGGAGUCAACCUCAGGAGGAGUCAUUGACACAUGCUCUCUUCAGCAGAGUGUGCAGGAGAUGGAAGUCAGAGGCCAUCGGCUUGCCCACAUUCCUCACCCAGGACUGAGCUGCGCAUGACUGCUGCUUCCCUGCCUUUGAGUAAUGAGGGGACACAGCAAGACGGCCACAUCAGGGCUGCUGUAUUAGUAAGGCUACUUUCCUGUCCAUUUAUCAUCAAUUAAAGGUGUGCUAGUUUGUAAAGCAA